GCUGGGCGCAGUGGUGUGUGCCUGUAGUCCCAGCUACUUGAGAGGCUGAGGUGGGAGGAUUGCUUGAGCCCAGAUGUUCUGGGCUGUAGUGCACUAUGCCAAUCGGGUGUCCGCACUAAGUUCGGCAUCAAUAUGGUGACCUCCCGGGAGCGGGGGAACAUCAGGUUGCCUAAGGAGGGGUGAACCGGCCCAGGUUGGAAACAGAGCAUGUCAAAACUCCCAUGCUGAUCAGUAGUGGGAUCGCGCCUGUGAAUAGCCACUGCACUCCAGCCUGUGCCAACAUAGCGAGACCCCGUCUCU
This 300-nucleotide signal recognition particle RNA is filed under the name Aotus nancymaae (Ma's night monkey). Its description in RNAcentral is "Metazoan signal recognition particle RNA (ENSANAG00000005438.1)". It matches the Rfam family "Metazoan signal recognition particle RNA". Rfam says of the family: The signal recognition particle (SRP) is a universally conserved ribonucleoprotein. It is involved in the co-translational targeting of proteins to membranes. The eukaryotic SRP consists of a 300-nucleotide 7S RNA and six proteins: SRPs 72, 68, 54, 19, 14, and 9. The record is from RNAcentral. Lineage: Eukaryota; Metazoa; Chordata; Mammalia; Primates; Aotidae.